ACGAGCGCUGGCGGCGUGCUUAACACAUGCAAGUCGAACGGUGAAGCGCCUUCCUUUUUGGUGGGUGUGGAUGAGUGGCGAACGGGUGAGUAACACGUGAGUAACCUGCCCCCUUCUUCUGGAUAACCGCAUGAAAGUGUGGCUAAUACGGGAUAUUCUGGGUCUGUCGCAUGAUGGGUCUGGGAAAGAUAUUGUUUCGGUGGGGGAUGGGCUCGCGGCCUAUCAGCUUGUUGGUGGGGUGAUGGCCUACCAAGGCGGUGACGGGUAGCCGGCCUGAGAGGGUGGACGGUCACACUGGGACUGAGACACGGCCCAGACUCCUACGGGAGGCAGCAGUGGGGAAUAUUGCACAAUGGGCGCAAGCCUGAUGCAGCGACGCCGCGUGAGGGAUGGAGGCCUUCGGGUUGUGAACCUCUUUCGCCAGUGAAGCAGGCCUGCCUCGUUUGUGGGUGGGUUGACGGUAGCUGGAUAAGAAGCGCCGGCUAACUACGUG
This 493-nucleotide ribosomal RNA is filed under the name uncultured bacterium. RNAcentral's name for it is "partial 16S ribosomal RNA". It matches the Rfam family "Bacterial small subunit ribosomal RNA", at positions 29 to 507 of the family's 1533-position model. The record is from RNAcentral.